UACGUAGGGCGCAAGCGUUGUCCGGAAUUAUUGGGCGUAAAGAGCUCGUAGGCGGUUUGUCGCGUCUGCUGUGAAAACCUAAGGCUCAACCUUGGGCUUGCAGUGGGUACGGGCAGACUAGAGUGCGGUAGGGGUGACUGGAAUUCCUGGUGUAGCGGUGGAAUGCGCAGAUAUCAGGAGGAACACCGAUGGCGAAGGCAGGUCACUGGGCCGCAACUGACGCUGGAGGAGCGAAAGCAUGGGGAGCGAACAGG
This 254-nucleotide ribosomal RNA is filed under the name uncultured bacterium. RNAcentral describes it as "partial 16S ribosomal RNA". It matches the Rfam family "Bacterial small subunit ribosomal RNA", at positions 524 to 776 of the family's 1533-position model. The record is from RNAcentral.